CAGCCGCCACGGUAAUACGAAGGGUGCAAGCGUUACUCGGAAUUACUGGGCGUAAAGCGUGCGUAGGUGGUGGUUUAAGUCCGUUGUGAAAGCCCUGGGCUCAACUCGAAGUCUGCACCGAAAACUGCCGGGCUUGAGUAUGGGAGAGGUGAGUGGAAUUUCCGGUGUAGCGGUGAAAUGCGUAGAUAUCGGAAGGAACACCUGUGGCGAAAGCGGCUCACUGGACCAUUACUGACGCUGAGGCGCGAAAGCUAGGGGAGCAAACAGGAUUAGAUACCCCCGUAGUCCCUGUCUCUUAUAC
RNAcentral lists this ribosomal RNA (301 nucleotides) under uncultured bacterium. Its description in RNAcentral is "partial 16S ribosomal RNA". It matches the Rfam family "Bacterial small subunit ribosomal RNA", at positions 509 to 807 of the family's 1533-position model. The record is from RNAcentral.